GAUGGUACAGCUCAGUGGCACAGCACAUGCCUGGUGAGCAUGAGGUCCUUGGUUCAAUGCUCAGUGCCUCCA
Molecule: transfer RNA, 72 nt
Filed under: Camelus bactrianus (Bactrian camel)
Lineage: Eukaryota; Metazoa; Chordata; Mammalia; Artiodactyla; Camelidae
Also listed under: 2 other names
Rfam family: tRNA
About the family: Transfer RNA (tRNA) molecules are approximately 80 nucleotides in length. Their secondary structure includes four short double-helical elements and three loops (D, anti-codon, and T loops).
Source: Rfam by way of RNAcentral